GUAGGUGGCGAGCGUUAUCCGGAAUGAUUGGGCGUAAAGGGUGCGUAGGUGGCAGAACAAGUCUGGAGUAAAAGGUAUGGGUUCAACCCGUACUGGCUCUGGAAACUGUUCAGCUAGAGAACAGAAGAGGACGGCGGAACUCCAUGUGUAGCGGUAAAAUGCGUAGAUAUAUGGAAGAACACCGGUGGCGAAGGCGGCCGUCUGGUCUGUUGCUGACACUGAAGCACGAAAGCGUGGGGAGCAAAUAGGAUUAGAUACCCUAGUAGUCCACGCCGUAAACGAUGAGAACUAGGUGUUGGGGGAAUAACUCAGUGCCGCAGUUAACGCAAUAAGUUCUCCGCCUGGGGAGU
This 350-nucleotide ribosomal RNA is filed under the name uncultured bacterium. RNAcentral describes it as "bacterial SSU rRNA". It matches the Rfam family "Bacterial small subunit ribosomal RNA", at positions 527 to 881 of the family's 1533-position model. The record is from RNAcentral.